RNAcentral lists this ribosomal RNA (468 nucleotides) under uncultured bacterium. RNAcentral describes it as "partial 16S ribosomal RNA". It matches the Rfam family "Bacterial small subunit ribosomal RNA", at positions 28 to 507 of the family's 1533-position model. The record is from RNAcentral.
GACGAACGCUGGCGGCGUGCUUAACACAUGCAAGUCGAACGGAAAGGCCCUGCUUUUGUGGGGUGCUCGAGUGGCGAACGGGUGAGUAACACGUGAGUAACCUGCCCUUGACUUUGGGAUAACUUCAGGAAACUGGGGCUAAUACCGGAUAGGAGCUCCUGCUGCAUGGUGGGGGUUGGAAAGUUUCGGCGGUUGGGGAUGGACUCGCGGCGUAUCAGCUUGUUGGUGGGGUAGUGGCUUACCAAGGCUUUGACGGGUAGCCGGCCUGAGAGGGUGACCGGCCACAUUGGGAUUGAGAUACGGCACAGACCCCUACGGGAGGGAGCAGUGGGGAAUAUUGUACAAUGGGCGGAAGCCUGAUGCAGCAACGCCGCGUGCGGGAUGACGGCCUUCGGGUUGUAAACCGCUUUCGCUUGUGACGAAGCGUGAGUGACGGUAAUGGGUAAAGAAGCACCGGCUAACUACGUG